This 63-nucleotide transfer RNA is filed under the name Hyosciurus ileile (lowland long-nosed squirrel). Its description in RNAcentral is "tRNA-Phe". Lineage: Eukaryota; Metazoa; Chordata; Mammalia; Rodentia; Sciuridae. The record is from RNAcentral.
AAUGUAGCUUAAACWAAAGCAAUGCACUGAAAAUGCUUAGAUGGGUAUUCUACCCCAUAAACA